RNAcentral lists this long non-coding RNA (618 nucleotides) under Amborella trichopoda. Its description in RNAcentral is "long non-coding RNA (ATRI_LNC005508)". The record is from RNAcentral. Lineage: Eukaryota; Viridiplantae; Streptophyta; Magnoliopsida; Amborellales; Amborellaceae.
ACCUAUUUGCAUCCAUUUUUAAGAUGGAUGUUUUAUAUCUCUAAAUCGCAUAUUAUAGAAAUACGGUCCAGCCAGCAUAAAAAAAUUGUUCAAUGCUAAAAGCCCCAUCCUGUGUUAGAUUUCAGUGAGUAAAGAAUUUCUAAUCUGGAUUGAAAAUCGAUAGAAACAAUGCCGGUUCUUGUUAGGAAUCGACCAUUUAUCAAAUUAACAAGAUCUAAUAUAUUCAUAUAAUUGAACCUCCGUAGGAGAACUGAGCACUCCAGCUACCGCACCAAUCUUGAGUAAAUGAUUUUCCUUUUGCCAAAUCACUGAUCCAUUGGAUUUGAAUUGUUGAUCCGUAUGAUCCAGAUCUAUAUCACCGGGUGAUCAAAACAUCAAAUCCAAGACGCAUCAAUUCGAAAGAAGUAUAAAUUUGGGGGACAUUAAACCGUUCAUAAAAGUAAGGAAAAAGCUAACCAUAGCUGCGUAGCUCCAAAGAAUAGUAAUAUAUGUAGAAUCCCAGCCGUCGAAUCUUCAUCAUGUGAUUCAGAAUGUAUAUCACUAUAUGAAUUUUAAUAGUUUUUUCUAGAAAUCGGAUCAUAAUGAAAUUUUAGACGUAUGCACCAAAAAAUAGGGCGC